UACAGAGGUGGCAAGCGUUGUUCGGAAUUACUGGGCGUAAAGGGCGCGUAGGCGGCCUUCUAAGUCAGACGUGAAAUCCCCAGGCUUAACUUGGGAACUGCGUCUGAUACUGGAGGGCUCGAGUGCGGGAGAGGGAUGUGGAAUUCCAGGUGUAGCGGUGAAAUGCGUAGAUAUCUGGAGGAACACCGGUGGCGAAGGCGGCAUCCUGGACCGACACUGACGCUGAGGCGCGAAAGCUAGGGGAGCAAACAGG
This 253-nucleotide ribosomal RNA is filed under the name uncultured bacterium. RNAcentral describes it as "partial 16S ribosomal RNA". It matches the Rfam family "Bacterial small subunit ribosomal RNA", at positions 524 to 776 of the family's 1533-position model. The record is from RNAcentral.